RNAcentral lists this long non-coding RNA (756 nucleotides) under Helianthus annuus (common sunflower). RNAcentral's name for it is "sRNA HanXRQr2_Chr17g0826661". Lineage: Eukaryota; Viridiplantae; Streptophyta; Magnoliopsida; Asterales; Asteraceae. The record is from RNAcentral.
CCUCCUUACUUCCUUUUUCCUUUUUCCCUAAUCCACCGCAUUUCCCUUAGGGUUUACACUUGCUUCAGCCAACCACUCAAUCAGGCGUGCACAACCGAUCAGAGUACUAGCAGCUGCGUAAAUCGGUGAUCGGAACAACAGCAACAACGGAGAUAAGCAAAACAUUUGACGCUGCGUUUUUUAAGUUUCGGUGCGCAAAUCAGUGAUCCGAACAACACCAGUUCGGAACAACAGCAUGGUGGCAACAAUAAGUUCAAAUUCAGUUGUGUUGGUUUCGAAUUAGAUGCGCAUUAACAAGAUCGAGGAUUGCAAGUAGCCGCAGUUGAUGCACUACUGGAUAUAGAUCUACCUCACUCUAUAAAGACGUCUUUUAUGUUCAUCACCUCGAUAUGCAGUGAUCGGUACAACAGCAACAACGGAGACAAGCAAAAAUAAAGAUGCCUUCGGUUUGGUUUGGUUAUGAAGUGAAAACCGCUUGGUUACAGAGGUGAAAACUCUUCAGUUGCUGGUAGCAGACGCUAAAAUUGAAUCUGGUUUUGCGUGUUCUGGUGACAAUGAAGCCGCAGUUGAUGCACUACUGGAUAUAGAUCUACCUCACUCUAUAAAGACGUCUUUUAUGUUCAUCACCCUCGAUAUGCAGGUCAGAAAUAUUGUCACUUGAGCAAUCAAACCCAUGAAAAUGCUUUAGUACGUGCACAAAAGCUUUUGAAAAAAUAAAUGCUACAGAGGAUGAUAUGUUGAAGAAUGGCAUUUAAC